ACCUUGAUUGAGAUAAAGCAGGCUUAUAAAAAGGUCGCCAGGAAGUACCACCCGGACGUGUCGCCCCCGGAUCGGGUUGAGGAGUAUACCCAGAGGUUUAUUCGGGUUCAGGAGGCUUACGAGACUCUCUCGGAUCCUAGAAGGAGAGCUCUUUAUGAUCGAGAUAUGGCUCGGGGUCUUCACCUCGCGUUCUCUGCUAGGAGACGACACCAAAACGAUGAGGAACUGGAAGUGAGAGGCGAGUGGAAGAACUGCUGGGAAGCUCAGCUAUCAGAGUUGAAGAGAAGAAGCAUGAACAAGGAUGC
This 305-nucleotide unclassified non-coding RNA is filed under the name Hevea brasiliensis (rubber tree). Lineage: Eukaryota; Viridiplantae; Streptophyta; Magnoliopsida; Malpighiales; Euphorbiaceae. The record is from RNAcentral.